Procambarus clarkii (red swamp crayfish) is the source of this 424-nucleotide non-coding RNA. The record is from RefSeq and is a predicted model, not a curated record. NCBI's taxonomy places the organism in Eukaryota, Metazoa, Arthropoda, Malacostraca, Decapoda, Cambaridae.
AUUGUCCUUACAGCAAUGAGCCGCGGGUACUAUUGCCCCCUGGCCUGCCCCCUCCACUACUACCCUGUGUGUGGCUCCAACCACUUCACCUACGACAACGAGUGCAGGUUGAAGCAGGCGGCCUGCUUCAACCGUCUUAUAACGAAGCUGAGAGCUGGUCGCUGUGAGUAGAUUCCAGCUUGCAACUCAGACACGUGAGGCACGAAGCAACGUCUUGGACAGACUCAGGAGGGAUUCAUCUUAUCUCAAAGACUCUCACACAACUUGGCAAUGACGUCUCACUCACCCUUUGUUCAAACCCCAUUUCUGACGGCAGUCGUGCUGCGCAGUGUGGGGGUUUUGGUCACUGUAUUUUGUAACCUAAGGAUUCGCGAUAUAAAUAUACUGAAUAGAACUUGAAAACAAAUUAAAGUUUAAAAUUAUG